RNAcentral lists this small RNA (124 nucleotides) under Marmota monax (woodchuck). Lineage: Eukaryota; Metazoa; Chordata; Mammalia; Rodentia; Sciuridae. The record is from RNAcentral.
GCUGGGCACAGUGGCUCGUGCCUGUAAUUCCUGAGGCUCUGGAGGCUGAGGCAGGAGGAUAGCAAGUUAAAAGCCAGUCUCAGCAAAAGUGAGGCACUAAGCACUCAGUGAGACCCUGUCUCUA